Molecule: ribosomal RNA, 253 nt
Filed under: uncultured bacterium
Lineage: Bacteria
Description: partial 16S ribosomal RNA
Rfam family: Bacterial small subunit ribosomal RNA
Source: RNAcentral
UACAGAGGGUGCAAGCGUUAAUCGGAUUUACUGGGCGUGAAGCGUGUGUAGGUUGUUUGACAAGUCGGUUGUGAAAUCCCCGGGCUCAACCUGGGAACUGCUUCCGAGACUGUCCGACUAGAGUACGGUAGAGGGCGGUGGAAUUUCCGGUGUAGCGGUGAAAUGCGUAGAUAUCUGAAGGAACACCGAUGGCGAAGGCAGCCGCCUGGGCCUGUACUGACACUGAGGCACGAAAGCGUGGGGAUCAAACAGG